RNAcentral lists this ribosomal RNA (482 nucleotides) under uncultured bacterium. Its description in RNAcentral is "bacterial SSU rRNA". It matches the Rfam family "Bacterial small subunit ribosomal RNA", at positions 30 to 506 of the family's 1533-position model. The record is from RNAcentral.
UUGAACGCUGGCGGCAUGCUUUACACAUGCAAGUCGAACGGUAACAGGGAGCUUGCUCCGCUGACGGGUGGCGAACGGGUGAGUAAUGCAUCGGAACGUACCCAGUCGUGGGGGAUAACGUAGCGAAAGUUACGCUAAUACCGCAUACGUCCUGAGGGAGAAAGCGGGGGACCGUAAGGCCUCGCGCGAUUGGAGCGGCCGAUGUCGGAUUAGCUAGUUGGUGGGGUAAAGGCCUACCAAGGCGACGAUCCGUAGCGGGUCUGAGAGGAUGAUCCGCCACACUGGGACUGAGACACGGCCCAGACUCCUACGGGAGGCAGCAGUGGGGAAUUUUGGACAAUGGGGGCAACCCUGAUCCAGCCAUGCCGCGUGAGUGAAGAAGGCCUUCGGGUUGUAAAGCUCUUUCAGACGGAAAGAAAUCGCUGUUUUUAAUACGGACAGUGGAUGACGGUACCGGAAGAAGAAGCACCGGCUAACUACGU